Equus caballus (horse) is the source of this 1891-nucleotide long non-coding RNA. Lineage: Eukaryota; Metazoa; Chordata; Mammalia; Perissodactyla; Equidae. The record is from Ensembl.
AAUUGAUCCUGAGCUUGUCCUCUGAGUAGGGCAGCUGGCGUGGUUCGGUCCCACCAGGGAAGGCCAAUAUCCUGGUGCUGACCUCCAUGGCCAAUAACCUGGCUUCUCUGAACCAUUUCGGCUUUUGUUUCCUUGAAGACUGAGCGCUUUGGAGACUGAUGAUGUCAUGUGUCAGAAACAUGGCGUGAAACUGUAAGAAAGCGUGAAAAACAACGAGAAUGUCUCCCAAACCCCGAAAGCGUGAAACAAGCUGAGCAUCAAUAAGAGCAAACGUCUUAUUCAUGACAGUAAACAUAAAUGGGUGAAGACAUUCAAAUACAAAAUUGAUCUUAGCUUGGAAUAAAAAAAUGGCAAGCAGAAUCUCAUAUGUUACUUGUAAAGGACUGACUAUCUAAGAAAGGAAAGAAGAAGAAAAAAGAAAACGGGAAGGUUAAAAGCAAAGUGUUGGGCUAACGUAUGCAGGUGAAGAUAGAAAGAAAAGACUAUAGAGAACUUUCUGGGUAGCUAAGAAAAUAAAUGUGAGCAUCUUGAAAUAAGGACUAAUUUCAAAGAAUAUUUCUAAAAAAUUCACUUUAGAAGUGGAAAAUCUUGAAAGAUAGAGUAACUAAGGACUGAUUUCCAGUGAUGCCAAAAUUUAUGCUUAAAAAAGGGUGCGAGGAUCAAGAUAGAUAGUUUUAUUGGUUGGGUUCAUUCAAACGUACGAGAAACAGAACAAGGAAAUAUAUGGGAAGUUUCCUUAUUCAUUUAUUAAUAACCUUGGACAGAACUGCCAUGAUGCCUACCUCUAGACAGAAAAGUCGUAGUCCAAUCUGAUCUGUGAAAAUAAGCAAAAUGUCCUGAAUGUAACACUCGCAAAUUGAGACGUGCAUUCUAUUAAAUGAAGAUGAGUUCAUGACCAAAUUAACAACAUUCCAGGAACGCAAUAAUGAUUUGAUGUUAGAAACGUUUUACUAUACAAUCCGUAGGUCGAAAGAAAUAUCUCAAUGGUAGCAAAAACAGCAUUGGUUAAAAUUUUCUGUCUGAAUUUCUCUCUCGUGCCAAAAGUAUUAGCUGCUAGCCCAAUGAAGAGCCACUUAGAAACCAUUACAAUGACUUAAGCUGGCGAGGAAUAUGAAGUGCUGUGUGAAUACAGCCUGCGCUUCUGAAUUUUCUAGGAGUUAAUACUGGGACAGGUCAGAACCACACAGAGCAUUUUACCAAUGGACGCUGAUCCAUCCUUGACGAUUCCUUUCCACCUGUGAGUCCUGACAGGAAGGUGGCAGAAACGAAUGCGACACCCUCAGCGUCUUCUACAAUGAUGAGAGGGAGGAGAAAGAUGGAGAGGAAAAUAUCGAAAGGUAUUUUCAACAAAAAUUACUGGGCGAUACGUCACACACGCUAAAGAGUGCGUACAACAUCCAUGUGCAGCUCAGUGAAUGCCAGCAUCCCUCUGUCCAGCUUAAGGAGACCUGCAGUGCCUCAAUGCUGAACCAUGGGGUGAAAUCUCCCCCACCAAGUAAACCCCAUCCUGAGCUUGCUUGUCAUUCUUGUGUUUAUCUUCGUGUCUUGGUACCUAUGUAUAAAUCAACAGACCAAAUGGUGUUUCGUUGUGCCCGUUUUUGAACUUUCUAUGUGGGAUGUGUGCAAUGUGUUACUAUGGCGGCUGUGAGAAUGUGCCUCAUGUUUCCUUCUACAGGGAGCGCCACUGACCGAGGGCUCAGCUGCUAAACUCUGAGGUUCAUGGGUGCUGGUGCCCAGGCUGCCUCCCACAUGCUGCUCGCUGGCGGUGGCUGUGGGGAGGAUGCUCAGGCAGCCCUGUUCCUGGAGGCAGGCCCUUUGCAGGCCAACUGUGGCUCCAUGACUCCCUGAAGCAUAUUUCUCGGACCACAUGGCGGUCUAGGAUGCUUCCGCC